This 426-nucleotide long non-coding RNA is filed under the name Anser cygnoides (Swan goose). Its description in RNAcentral is "lncRNA (ENSACDG00005014127.1)". The record is from RNAcentral. Lineage: Eukaryota; Metazoa; Chordata; Aves; Anseriformes; Anatidae.
AUGCGAGGGGUCACAGCACCUGGAGCUCUGAGAGAGGUGAUAAAUCUCGCUGAGGCUGCAUGGGGAAGAGGUAGUGUGUGCAGGGAAGUUAUGGGGAGCAAUUCUGGUGUGCUGUUUCAGCCUCAGGGAGAAAAGCCUCUGCAGAAGCUUAAGAAGGCCUUCAAGCAGCUGCUAAGUAGAGGAGUACAGCACCUUCAGCAGAGUGAAUCAGAACCUCGUGGGACCAGACCUUUAUCUUCUUGGUGGAUGCAACUAUCAAUUGAUAGAUUCUCUUGCUGUGCCUGUCUGAAGAGCCUCACCAUCAUGCCAGACACUUGGGCUCAGGAAGGGCUCCCCAGAGCCCCCACUCGGAUGCCUUCACCGUCCUUCUCUUCCCGUUCUGCCCGGCAGCCGUGGAUCUCCUUCCAUGCUCGGCGGGGGUACUGA